Molecule: long non-coding RNA, 509 nt
Organism: Pollicipes pollicipes
Lineage: Eukaryota; Metazoa; Arthropoda; Thecostraca; Pollicipedomorpha; Pollicipedidae
Exons: 3
Source: RefSeq, a predicted model, not a curated record
GCGCCCGCAGCGCAACAGAGGCCAAACACCUAGGUCUUAGAAACGCGUUUUCAAUACGUCACUCGUUCGCCGGAAAUGUGGUGAAAUAUGACAAACCAGCCGGAAUUGGUUGUGAUUCACUACCGUGCAGGUCCUGCAUACUGACAACAUAUUGUGGCGAAGUGCAGUUAACAGGCUGACUGCCAGAGGUUCAAUGCAAGAUUCCAGUUGAAAUAUAUCUUCAAAUGUCUGACAAGAUAUACUGACUGUUUUCCACAUUUGUCUUAUGAUGUCUUUAUUAAGUCUUUUGUCACCAUCAUCAUUGAGGGCACAGGUCAGCAAUAUUCACAUGCAAGCUGUAAGGCUGGCAUCCAAGAAGACAGGAGGAAGCACCAAGUAUGGUUCUAACCGCCGUGGGCGGCCCCAUCACUAUGGUUGGAAGGCGCAGGAUGGCCAGCUUGUGACAGCUGGCAGCAUUCUAGUGAAACAGCGCACGCUCCGCUUCCAUCCCGGCGAGAACGUCCGGAUUG